AGAGUUUGAUCAUGGCUCAGGAUGAACGCUAGCGGCAGGCUUAACACAUGCAAGUCGAGGGGCAGCAUAAUGGAUAGCAAUAUCUAUGGUGGCGACCGGCGAACACGGGUGCGUAACGCGUAUGCAACCUACCUUUAACGAGGGGGAUAACACUGAGAAAUUGGUACUAAUACCCCAUAAUAUCAUAGAAGGCAUCUUUUAUGGUUGAAAAUUCCGAUGGUUAGAGAUGGGCAUGCGUUGUAUUAGCUAGUUGGUGGGGUAACGGCUCACCAAGGCGACGAUACAUAGGGGGACUGAGAGGUUAACCCCCCACACUGGUACUGAGACACGGACCAGACUCCUACGGGAGGCAGCA
Molecule: ribosomal RNA, 355 nt
Filed under: uncultured bacterium
Lineage: Bacteria
Description: bacterial SSU rRNA
Rfam family: Bacterial small subunit ribosomal RNA
Source: RNAcentral